ACGGAAGGCAGCAGUGGGGAAUAUUGCACAAUGGGGGAAACCCUGAUGCAGCAACGCCGCGUGAGUGAUGAAGUAUUUCGGUAUGUAAAGCUCUAUCAGCAGGGAAGAAAAUGAAGGUACCCAAGUAAGAAGCCCCGGCUAACUACGUGCCAGCAGCCGCGGUAAUACGUAGGGGGCAAGCGUUAUCCGGAUUUACUGGGUGUAAAGGGAGCGUAGACGGAAUAGCAAGUUUGAAGUGAAAGCCCUGGGCUUAACCCGGGAACUGCUUUGAAAACUGUUAAUCUAGAGUACUGGAGGGGUAUGGGGAAUUCCUAGUGUAGUAGUGAAAUGCGUAGAUAUUAGGAGGAACACCGGAGGCGAAGGCGCCAUACUGGACAGAUACUGACGUUGAGGCUCGAAAGCGUGGGGAGCAAACAGGAUUAGAUACCCUGGUA
This 434-nucleotide ribosomal RNA is filed under the name uncultured Lachnospiraceae bacterium. Its description in RNAcentral is "bacterial SSU rRNA". It matches the Rfam family "Bacterial small subunit ribosomal RNA", at positions 341 to 792 of the family's 1533-position model. Lineage: Bacteria; Bacillati; Bacillota; Clostridia; Lachnospirales; Lachnospiraceae. The record is from RNAcentral.